Molecule: ribosomal RNA, 253 nt
Filed under: uncultured bacterium
Lineage: Bacteria
Description: partial 16S ribosomal RNA
Rfam family: Bacterial small subunit ribosomal RNA
Source: RNAcentral
UACGGAGGUCGCAAGCGUUGUUCGGAAUCAUUGGGCGUAAAGCGCGUGUAGGCGGCCAUUUAAGUCGGAUGUGAAAGCCCGGGGCCCAACCCCGGAACUGCAUUCGAUACUGAGUGGCUGGAGUCCCGGAGAGGAAGGCGGAAUUCCCGGUGUAGAGGUGAAAUUCGUAGAUAUCGGGAGGAACAUAAGUGGCGCAGGCGGCCUUCUGGACGGUGACUGACGCUGAGACGCGAAAGCGUGGGGAGCAAACAGG